RNAcentral lists this ribosomal RNA (253 nucleotides) under uncultured bacterium. RNAcentral describes it as "partial 16S ribosomal RNA". It matches the Rfam family "Bacterial small subunit ribosomal RNA", at positions 524 to 776 of the family's 1533-position model. The record is from RNAcentral.
UACGUAGGUGGCAAGCGUUGUCCGGAAUUACUGGGCGUAAAGGGCGCGUAGGCGGAUGUUUAAGUCGGGGGUGAAAGCCCGGGGCUCAACCUCGGAAUUGCCUUCGAUACUGGACAUCUUGAGUACGGGAGAGGUGAGUGGAACUCCGAGUGUAGAGGUGAAAUUCGUAGAUAUUCGGAAGAACACCAGUGGCGAAGGCGACUCACUGGCCCGUUACUGACGCUGAGGCGCGAAAGCGUGGGGAGCAAACAGG